CCUAGCUCGAGUGCGCCUCAGCUUACUUGAUUUGGGUGAUUGUUGGAGCUUUCAAGUUUGGGUGAUAGGCUUACUGGUCAAGGUACGCUGCGACAAGUGUCAUCAUGACCCUAGUUUUUGGGUCGUGACAUUCAAAGUGACCUAUAAAUGAAUGUAUUGCCAAGAUUAUGUAAUGCUAUGGAACUGAGGUCUCCAUGGACUGCAGACGGAUGUGCCAGCAUUUCAAAUCUGGAUUAUAACCUUGAACGGAGAAGCUUAUGAGAUAAAAGCUUUUCCAUAAUGUAAAAAUUAGCCAAUCAAGCCUAUGAGCCUGAUCUGUUUGUACCAGAUUUAUGUUAAAAGGAAUUCUUAAAUGGGGGCAAAGAGCCAACUUUUCUUGAGGUCUUCGAAGAGACGCAUAGGAAGAAAAAGAAGGACAGUACAAGACAAGAUUGAGCCAAAACGCAUGCUAAGGAUCAUAUAUUUUAAAAAAGCAUAGAAGAUUGGCAUCAAACCCAACCUACUUCAGAAGAUGGUACCAUGGUCCAACCAUCACUUGCAGAUAUAACUAACAUGUGGACAACUAUUAUUGGUGGUCCAAAGAAAGGUAGAACCUAUGGGUGUGGUGUUCUCGAAUCUUUGAGUAGUCCUUCGUUGUUUCCCAAUUCCUCUUCUACUUUGCAAA
Long non-coding RNA from Capsicum annuum, 664 nucleotides. RefSeq lists it as uncharacterized. Lineage: Eukaryota; Viridiplantae; Streptophyta; Magnoliopsida; Solanales; Solanaceae. The record is from RefSeq and is a predicted model, not a curated record. The transcript is spliced from 4 exons.